GUUUUUGUUAGUGGCAAUGAGAAGGGGUUCUGAUUGGUUGGCUUUAUGUCCUCUGUUUUUCACGGAGGCAUCAAUGCAGAGCUAACCAGAGCUAACCUGUACGAAGUUUUACGGAGAAGCGCAGAAUGAAGCAUAUAACAGUGCACCGUAAAGGAGAUGAAAAACCUCGACCUGUUCCCAGCUUGGAAAAUCCAGACCUGUAUCAAUGUCCCUUCUGUACCCCAGAGUUAUAUAGACCUGCUGGUUAUUCACAAAUGGCUACACAUCUUGCCAGUCACUUGCUCAAAGCAGUCAAUCAUAGAGACUACAUAAUAUACAGCUGUGGACUUGGUUGUGCGGGAAAGGCUAAACACUUUCAUUGUUGUCACUGCUCAAAGACGUACAUAAAUAAAAAUGGUAUCUUAAAACAUUUGGAUAUCCAUUGCCAAGAUGCCUCAUCCCUGCCAUUAGCCGCAUCAACAUCUGCUCCAGCUACAUCAGGCCCCUCAGCCGCAUCAACGUCUGCUCCAGCUACAUCAGGCCCCUCAGCCGCAUCAACAUCUGCUCCGGCUACAUCAGGCCCCUCAGCCGCAUCAACAUCUGCUCCAGCUACAUCAGGCCCCUCAGCCGCAUCAACAUCUGCUCCCUCAGAAGUCCCAUCUCACACACUGGAAGCACACAUUCAACCACAAAGCCAACAUUCUGAACAAAAUGUACUGAACCGUUCAAAUCCAAGGGUUGUCACUACAAAGCUAGUUUCGGUGCAGUGUCCUCACUGUAAUCACAUGUUGCUCCUGCACUCACAACAUGUACUGUAUGUAUUAUAACAUGUGUAAUGGAAAUUCUUUUAUUAAGUGUUCCAAAGUGUGUGACCUUUGGUUUACCUCACUCCAGUGAACAUCUGUGUUAGGGAGUAAGCUGUAAAAGCCA
Girardinichthys multiradiatus is the source of this 909-nucleotide long non-coding RNA. RefSeq lists it as uncharacterized. The record is from RefSeq and is a predicted model, not a curated record. The transcript is spliced from 3 exons. NCBI's taxonomy places the organism in Eukaryota, Metazoa, Chordata, Actinopteri, Cyprinodontiformes, Goodeidae.